This 75-nucleotide transfer RNA is filed under the name bacterium. Its description in RNAcentral is "tRNA-Arg". It matches the Rfam family "tRNA". From Rfam's summary of the family: Transfer RNA (tRNA) molecules are approximately 80 nucleotides in length. Their secondary structure includes four short double-helical elements and three loops (D, anti-codon, and T loops). The record is from RNAcentral.
GUCCUUAUAGUUCAACGGAUAGAACAAACCCCUCCUAAGGGUUAGAUGUUGGUUCGAUUCCAGCUGGGGAUACCA